This 219-nucleotide long non-coding RNA is filed under the name Setaria viridis. Its description in RNAcentral is "long non-coding RNA (SVIR_LNC001938)". Lineage: Eukaryota; Viridiplantae; Streptophyta; Magnoliopsida; Poales; Poaceae. The record is from RNAcentral.
CAGCUGUGGCUUCUCCAAUGAAGCAGCUUUUUUUGACUUCAGCUUAUCUGGUUGAAAAAACGUUUGGUAAAAUGGAUUCUCCUGAUUGUUAUAGAAAGGUGAAAUGUCCAUAAUACACUUGUUGUUUUGUUUUUUUGUUUUCUUCUUUUUCUUCUUCUUUUUUCUUUUUUUCCUUCCACUUCGUUUUCUUAUCCACUCCUCCUGUCUUCCUCCUUUUUC